UACGUAGGGGGCAAGCGUUGUCCGGAUUUAUUGGGCGUAAAGAGCGUGUAGGCGGUUUGGUAGGUCCGCUGUGAAAACUCGAGGCUCAACCUCGAGACGCCGGUGGAAACCAUCAGACUAGAGUCCGGAAGAGGGAGAGUGGAAUUCCUGGUGUAGCGGUGAAAUGCGUAGAUAUCAGGAGGAACACCGGCGGUGUAGACGGCUUUCUGGACCGUAGCUGACGCUGAGACACGAAAGCGUGGGUAGCAAACAGG
RNAcentral lists this ribosomal RNA (254 nucleotides) under uncultured bacterium. RNAcentral describes it as "partial 16S ribosomal RNA". It matches the Rfam family "Bacterial small subunit ribosomal RNA", at positions 524 to 776 of the family's 1533-position model. The record is from RNAcentral.